RNAcentral lists this ribosomal RNA (497 nucleotides) under uncultured bacterium. RNAcentral's name for it is "partial 16S ribosomal RNA". It matches the Rfam family "Bacterial small subunit ribosomal RNA", at positions 28 to 507 of the family's 1533-position model. The record is from RNAcentral.
GAUGAACGCUGGCGGCGUGCCUAAUACAUGCAAGUCGAGCGAACGGACGAGAAGCUUGCUUCUCUGAUGUUAGCGGCGGACGGGUGAGUAACACGUGGAUAACCUACCUAUAAGACUGGGAUAACUUCGGGAAACCGGAGCUAAUACCGGAUAAUAUUUUGAACCGCAUGGUUCAAAAGUAAAAGACGGUCUUGCUGUCACUUAUAGAUGGAUCCGCGCUGCAUUAGCUAGUUGGUAAGGUAACGGCUUACCAAGGCAACGAUGCAUAGCCGACCUGAGAGGGUGAUCGGCCACACUGGAACUGAGACACGGUCCAGACUCCUACGGGAGGCAGCAGUAGGGAAUCUUCCGCAAUGGGCGAAAGCCUGACGGAGCAACGCCGCGUGAGUGAUGAAGGUCUUCGGAUCGUAAAACUCUGUUAUUAGGGAAGAACAUAUGUGUUAGUAACUGUGCACAUCUUGACGGUACCUAAUCAGAAAGCCACGGCUAACUACGUG